This 253-nucleotide ribosomal RNA is filed under the name uncultured bacterium. RNAcentral describes it as "partial 16S ribosomal RNA". It matches the Rfam family "Bacterial small subunit ribosomal RNA", at positions 524 to 776 of the family's 1533-position model. The record is from RNAcentral.
GACGGAGGGUGCAAGCGUUGUUCGGAUUGACUGGGCGUAAAGGGCGUGUAGGCGGUCGGUCAAGUCUGGUGUGAAAGCCCGGGGCUCAGCUCCGGAAGUGCAUCGGAAACUAGCUGGCUGGAGCGCGAUAGAGGAGGGCGGAAUUCCUGGUGUAGCGGUGAAAUGCGUAGAUAUCAGGAGGAACACCGGCGGCGAAGGCGGCCCUCUGGAUCGUUGCUGACGCUGAGACGCGAAAGCGUGGGGAGCAAACAGG